AUGAAUGAGAGGUGUUACAAGUUAAACCAGAAGGCUGAGACUGCCGCCAACAAGAUCUGCAAGGUGCUGGCUGUGAACCAGGAAAAUGAGCACCUGAUGGAAGAAUAUGAACUCCUGGCCAGUGAUGUAGAGUGGAACCGGCUCACCAUUCCCUGGAUGGAGGACUGUGUGUCUCAGAAAGCCAUCCAGGAGAUUCAGCAGAAACUGCAGGACUUGUGAGACUAUAGACGUGUGCACAUGUCCCCCACCCCCCAACCCCAAGGUGCAGGAGAAGGGUCUGCUGGAGAUGAACUUCAACACAUUGCAGACUAAGCUGUGACUCAGCAACUGGCCUGCCUUCAUGCCCUCUGAGGGCAGGCUGGUCUCUGACAUAAACAAUGGGUGGCAACAGCUGGAGCAGGCUGAGAAGGGCUGUGAAGAAUGACUGUUGAAUGAAAUCUGUAGGCUGGAACGACGUGAACAUCUGGCAGAGAAGUUCAGGCAGAGGGCCUGGACUGAUGGGAAGGAGGCCAUGCUGAAGCACUGGGACUAUGAGACAGCCACCUUGUCAGACAUCAAAGCUCUGAUCCGAAAACAUUCAGCCUUUGAGAGUGACAUGGCAGCACACCAGGACCAGGUAGAGCAGAUUGCUGCAAUUGCCCAGCAGUUCAACCAGCUGGAUUACUAUGAUUUCCACAAUGUCAACACACGGUGCCAGAAGAUCUGCAACCAGUGGGAUAACCUGGGCUUUCUGACCCACAGUCUCAGGGAAGCCGUGGAGAAAACAAAGACAUCUAGAGAUAGUCGACCAUUUGGAGUAUGCCAAGAGGGCCGCACCCUUCAAAAACUGGAUGGAGAAUGCCAUGAAGGGCCUGCAAGACAUGUUCAUCAUCCAUAUCAUCGAGGAUAUGGAGGGCCUGAUCUUAGCCCAUGACCAGUUCAAGUCCACCCUGCCAGAUGCUGACAGGGAGCGUGAGGCUAUACUGGUCACAGGAGUCCCAAAGGAUCUCCGAGAACAAUCACAUCAAGCUGUUGGGCAGCAACUCCUACACCACCGUUACCCCCCAGAUUAUCAACUCCAAGUGGAAGAUGGUGCAGCAGCUGGUAGGUGUAGCAGCCGGUGCCAAAGCGGGACCAUGCACUCCUGGAGGAAGCCACAAUCCAUGGAGCACCUUCGCUGACAGUUUGCCAGCCAAGCCAACAUGGUGGGGCCCUGGAUCCAGACCAAGAUGGAGGAGAUCGGGUGCAUUUCCAUCGAGAUGAACCGGACUCUGGAAGACCAGCUGAGCCACCUGAAUUAGUAUGAGACCACCAUUGCGGACUACAAACCCAACCUGGACCUGCUGGAGCAGCAGCAUCCAGGAGGCCCAAAUCUUUGACAACAAACACACUAACAAUGGAGCAUAUCCGUGUGGGCUGGGAGCAGCUGCUUACCAUCAUUUCGGAAGUUCCAGGCAUCUUUUUAACGUCUUUGACAAGGACCAUGGCGGCAUACUGGGGCCUGAGGAUUUCAAGGCCUGCUUCAUCAGCCUGGGUUAUGAUGUGAAGAAUGACAGGCAGGGUGCUGCUGAAUUCAACUGGAUCAUGAGUGUGGUCGACCCCAACCACAGUGGCCCCAUGACCUUCCAAGCCUUCAUUGACUUCAUGUGGAGGGAGACCACAGACACAGCUGAUCAGGUCAUCAUUUCCUUCAAGGUCCUGGCAAGGAACAAGGACUUCAUCACUGCUGAGGAAUUGUGGAGAGAGCUGCCUCCACCGGACCAGGCUGAGUACUGGAUUGCCCGCAUGGCACCCUACCAGGGGCCUGAUGCAGCUCCUGGUACCCUUGACUGCGAGUCCUUCUCCACAGUCCUCUAUCAAGAGAGCGACCUGUAAGGCCCUCAGCCACCCUAAACAGAGACUCCCUUGGCCUCCCAGAAGGGUUGAGGAACCCUGCCCCCCACCCUGACUCUAUAUCUAUGCAUCUUUGUGUUCCUUCUAGGGGGUCAGGCAGGGAGGGACUAGGCAUGCCUCUUUCUCAGUCUUGUAGGGAAGGGAGGCUAGGCGAUCAGCACUUCUGGAUAUAGCUGUUUUGGGGGUUCUUAGCCUAUAUGGAGGGAGACAAUGGACCCCCAUGCCCCAGAGAUAACCAGGUCCCCUCUACCCCUGAAGCCCUUUCCUCACAUCCAGAAAGCCCCAUGUGCCUUGUCCAGGAACCACCUGCCCUAAGAAGUCCAGCAGAGGCCACCCAGUUCUCCUGGACCAGAUUCUAGUGGCUCCUCCCACCUCCCUGCUCCUGUGUGAUCACCAGGAGCAGAGGACCUGCCAUAACCCUUCUCUGCCUCAGGAGUGGCACAGAGUCUGAGAUUUUCUAAGGACAAAAACCAACAAAACACAAAGAGUGGAACAGAAAUAAACAAAUCAUUUUUAAAAAAGGAAAAACAACUUUUAAAAACCUAUAAAAAAUUAAAAACUC
This is an RNA transcript of Mastomys coucha (southern multimammate mouse), 2434 nucleotides long. It is a transcript of the gene named alpha-actinin-4-like, with no coding region annotated. NCBI's taxonomy places the organism in Eukaryota, Metazoa, Chordata, Mammalia, Rodentia, Muridae. The record is from RefSeq and is a predicted model, not a curated record. The transcript has 2 exons.